Small nuclear RNA from Nannospalax galili (Upper Galilee mountains blind mole rat), 106 nucleotides. NCBI's taxonomy places the organism in Eukaryota, Metazoa, Chordata, Mammalia, Rodentia, Spalacidae. The record is from RefSeq and is a predicted model, not a curated record.
UUGCUUGUUUCAGCAGCACAAAUAUUAAAAGUGAAACAAUAUAGAAACAAUUAGCAUGGCCCCUAUGCAAGGAUGACAGGAGUACAUACAAAUUCAGGAAAUGUAU